GAAAUGGUGAGUAACGCGUGGGAAACCUGCCCCUGGCGGGGGAUAACACCUGGAAACAAAAGCUAAUACCGCUUAACACCUUGGGCCGCUUGGUCCGAAUUUGAAUGAGGGCUUCGGUUAUCACUUUUGGAUGGUCCCGCGGCCUAUUACCUAUUUGGUGGGGUAACGGCUCACCAUGAUGCNGACCAACCUGAACCUGCGACCGGAAUCGGCCACAUUGGGACUGGNCCCGACUCCAAACUCCAACCGGAGGCAGGAGGAGGGAAUCUUCCAACUUGGACGAAAGUCUGAUGGAGCAACGCCGCGUGAAGGAAGAAGGGUUUCGGCUCG
Molecule: ribosomal RNA, 330 nt
Filed under: Lactiplantibacillus pentosus
Lineage: Bacteria; Bacillati; Bacillota; Bacilli; Lactobacillales; Lactobacillaceae
Description: bacterial SSU rRNA
Rfam family: Bacterial small subunit ribosomal RNA
Source: RNAcentral